RNAcentral lists this ribosomal RNA (420 nucleotides) under Fusobacteriota bacterium. RNAcentral describes it as "Fusobacteria bacterium partial 16S ribosomal RNA". It matches the Rfam family "Bacterial small subunit ribosomal RNA", at positions 355 to 776 of the family's 1533-position model. Lineage: Bacteria; Fusobacteriati; Fusobacteriota. The record is from RNAcentral.
UGGGGAAUAUUGCACAAUGGACGGAAGUUUGAUGCAGCGACGCCGCGUGGAGGGUGUAGGCCUUCGGGUUGUGAACUCCUUUUUCUCGCGAAAAAGGCACAGUUUUGGCUGUGUUGAUGGUAGUGGGGGAAGAAGCGCCGGCUAAAUACGUGCCAGCAGCCGCGGUAAUACGUAUGGGGCAAGCGUUGUCCGGAGUUAUUGGGCGUAAAGGGUACGUAGGCGGUUUAAUAAGUCCUAAUUAAAAGGCUAUGGCUCAACCAUAGUAUGGUUAGGAAACUGUUGGACUUGGGUAGAUGAGGGGAAAGUGGAAUUCCAUGUGUAGCGGUGAAAUGCGUAGAUAUAUGGAGGAACACCAAUGGCGAAGGCAACUUUCUGGAAUCAAACUGACGCUGAGGUACGAAGGCGUGGGGAGCAAACAGG